Molecule: long non-coding RNA, 2713 nt
Organism: Pogoniulus pusillus (Red-fronted tinkerbird)
Lineage: Eukaryota; Metazoa; Chordata; Aves; Piciformes; Lybiidae
Exons: 5
Source: RefSeq, a predicted model, not a curated record
CCAGUGCCUAAGCGAGCUGACUGCAUUUCACCCUCUCUCUGCUCUCCUUUGGAUGGAACUACACAACGUGUGCCCUCCUGGGAACAAACUGAAGACAAGGUACUGAACUUGUGUUCAAGCACCAGCACUGCCACAGCAGCAUGGCACUUUGGAUGUUUAAAGCAGCAGUGCGACAAUUUCCUUGGCAUUAGAAGACCUGAGCGUGUCUUUAAUGGGAUUCAGGCUCGGUGCCACCAAGUGUGGACAGUCAGUGACAUCUACAGAACAGGACUUAAGAGGAGCUGCCAGGCAGCUGGGGAAGUUUAGUCUGGAGGAGGCUAAGCAGAGACCUCACUGCCCUCUACAGCUCCCUGAAGGAACACUGAAGCCAGAGAUUUAGGAGAAAGCAGCUAAGGACACUUUACAGCCUUUCCAUUGCACAGAAACUGCUGAACACCAGACUGGAAGAGAGCUGAAGGAUCAUCUGCUCCUGCCUUUCCUGGGCCAGAAGAUCUCAAAACUGCUUGAAGAGAAAGACACACUGAUGAUGAAAGAGAAGCCCAGGGGAUGGGACUGAGACUCACCGCAGCUCAUGUGCCAGCAAGUGUGAGUUUAUCUCACUGCAGGAAUGAACCCUUCUGAAAACCAAACCCCAAAGCAUCCAACAAGCCGGGGGGGAGCUGUCUGGUGUUGGAAGAUGUGCUGAGAGGAGCAGCAGCAGAGCCCUGGCCAGCAGCAGACAUACCGUAUUUGGUGGGAAAGACGUCCUCAUCUGUCACCAGCUUCUGCACCGAGCUCAUGACGAAGUCAACGUACUGAGGAGCAGUGCACUUGAUCUUCUUUCCCCGCUCAUCAUACCAGUAGUACUGUCUGUGGAGAGAAUUGGCAGUGUCACCACAGCACCCCUUGGCUCCACAGCUCGGCUCCUCUCACAGGUUAGUGCCUCACUGACACAAAACAGCAGCUGUAGCUGUACCAGAGACACCAGAGCGGCCACACAAGAGAUUCACUUCAGGCUGUCUUUCUACAUCACCUGUUCAAUUUCUGUUGGCCACUUUUGUUUCCCUCUCUUGCCUGAGUGCAGGUAGCACAGAGCAGAGAAAGUCUGCAGACAUAUCUGUGGAGAGCAGCUCAGCUAGGGGAGCUCCUGUGCAGGGCAGACACAAGGGUUAUGCACAGCCUGGAGAAUGCUGCAGGAAGCUUUUCUCUAACUGCUUUUGAAAGCCAAGAGCAUUGCACAGUAAACACAGAGUGGUUUGGGUUAGAAGGAACCUCAAAGGCCACCCAGUUCCAAUCCCAUCCCUCUGCCAUGGGCAAGGACACCUUCUACUAGCCCACACUGCUCUUUGUCCAGCCUGCCCUUGAGCACCUCCAGGCAUCCACAACCUCCCUGGGCACCCUGUUCCAGUGUCCCCCCACUCUUGCUGUCAAGAAUUUCUUACUAAUCUUCAGUCUAAAUCUGCCUUCCUCAAGCUUAAUGAAGUGGUCACUUUCUCAUGCUGAAGAGUGCAGCAGAGGAGUGAGCCUGGCAGUGCAGUGUUACUGAAGAGGCAGAAGGUGGCUCCAAAACACCAGCUUUGGCCAGCUCCUUCAAGCUGCUGCUCUCGGUACAAAUCCUGUUCCAAAAUCGACCGCAGGGGAAGUUUUCAGCACCCUCCUGCACAUCCCCACCAGCGUGCCUUAAGACUCAGAGUCUUUGUCUGCAGUCACAGGCUCCCCAAAACAUCUGGGUUUACAUUUGGCUCUGCCACUGGUUACUGGUGGCCCUUAAGGAACAGCAGACAUCAGCUCUUCAAAAGCAACCCCAAUUCCAGCAGUUGGCCAUAAUCGUCUUGAUUAACUGAGGCCAUCUCUCACCUGAUGGGGGAACCUGAAGGCUGGCAAAGCACUGAAAGUUUGUUUCUUCUCUUUCAGACAGGGCUAAUUAAUUGCAGCCCCUCUGAAUGCAAGAGCAGUGACCCCUUGUGUUAGGCACACGCAGGGAGAGGUGUUCUGCAGACCAGGAAUUGGGCAAAACACCUUCUAAUUAAUGGGGUUUUUUUUGCCCAUGUCACCUUAGAAGUGUCUUGAGUUCCAGUUCCUCAUCUCUUCCUUUAGUCUAAGCUCAAGGUGCAGUCCUACAUCAUUGUGGGAUAGGCAAGAAAUCCACUGUCCUGGUCUUCCUAACACACAGCACAGCUGGGGUUUGCUGACUGCCUCUGGAAGCAAGGUUGGAAGUGGUGUGAGCACCAGAACGUGGCUAGAACCUCACCCAGCACAUGAGCCUGUAAAAGCAGGUUCCAUUUUCUGCCUGUUUGUUCACUCCACCUCUGCUGCUGUUGGCUAAUGAUCUGUGCCCUGACCUUCCUUGCACCAGCACUGAAGCACAGAAUGACUUAGGUUGAAAGGUACCCCAGAGAUCAUCUACACCAACCUCCCCACUACCAUCAGGGACACCUCUCAAUCAGACUUGGCUGCUCAAGGCCUCAUCCAACCUAGCCUUGAACGACUCCUCCAGGCUGAAGGCAUCCACAACCUCCCUGGGAAACCUGUUCCAGAGUCUCACUACCCUCAUACUGAGGGCUUCUUCCUAAGCCCCACUCUAAUCCUGCUCUCCCUCAGCUUCCAACCAUUCCCCCUUGUCCUGUCUCCAGACACCCUCAUGAAAAGUCCAUCUGCAGCCUUCCUGUAGGAUCCCUUCAGGUAUUGGAAGGCAGCCUAAAGUCCUCCCUGGAGUCUUCUCCAGGCUGCAUAA